This 547-nucleotide long non-coding RNA is filed under the name Mus spicilegus (steppe mouse). Its description in RNAcentral is "lncRNA (ENSMSIG00000019960.1)". Lineage: Eukaryota; Metazoa; Chordata; Mammalia; Rodentia; Muridae. The record is from RNAcentral.
CAUCUUUGUAACCAUGAUCAACAUAAACCUCUCCUCCAUGAAUGUUUUUUGCCAUUCUUUUAGUCACAAAAAUGAAAAAAAAAAAAAGUAACUAGUGCACUUUCUUUUCUAGUAAUAUUGAGACCCAGUAGGCCUUAGAACUUGUGGUUCAGUGUCACAAAUAAGAAUGAUCCAAAUUGCUUUUUUUUUUCAGUCUUCACUUUCAGACAAAGGCCUUUGAGGAUUUGAAUCAUUUCAGUGGGUGAUCCAGUUUUGUUUUGGUGCCCACCACCUAUGUCCACUCAUGAGAGAGCACCUUGGUUCUUCGUUGGGGAAUUGCUAUUCUCUAUUCUCUGGUGUCUGCUGUUUUAAUGGGCCCAUCCGUCGAGGUGUUCCUUCUCUGUUAGUCAAGGAGCAGCCACGUGAUCCCAGCUAUGACAAUCCAAAUCUAUCAUCCAGGGAUUUAAUUCUCAGUGUUAGGAGCUCCUCCAGGCAAUCAGGAAGAUACAGGCUUUUACUCAACAUGCUAACCAUGGCACGACCUGAUUUCUGGUGGCUAUCAACAUAA